RNAcentral lists this long non-coding RNA (7452 nucleotides) under Coffea arabica (coffee). RNAcentral's name for it is "long non-coding RNA (CARA_LNC005915)". The record is from RNAcentral. Lineage: Eukaryota; Viridiplantae; Streptophyta; Magnoliopsida; Gentianales; Rubiaceae.
GCAUCUACCACUAAUCAACUCCUUCUAACUCAGAAAUUACCUCAGGUUGCAGCUUAUACACGCGACAAGGUGCUGUCAAUUUUUCCUUCUCUCGGAUGGUUCGAAGUGCAGCCCGUUUCCUCUCCUUCUCUUAUACAGGCUGGCGGAUGAGAUGAGGGAAAGCAGCAGGUCUCUCACUUUUAUUUCUAGCAUGCGGUCAGGAGGUGAUGAAAUAGAAGGCUCGGCUCUCUCUCCCUUUCUCACUUCACUCUCUCGGACAGAACAGGAAUUGCAGCUCACACAUCUCCCUUUCUUUUCUCUUGCUCAAGCUGAGGAGCUCUCUCACUCUCUCUUCACUCUCGGUCACGGCAGAGGAGGAAAGUGGAGGGUGAAGGUGCUGUGGUGUUUUGGAGUUGGGGUAGUGAAGUGUUCAAUUCGAAAAGGAGAAUGGAACCGGCGGAGAUGGCAAGGCUUCUUCAGUCGGUGGUGGUAUUUCUAGUAUAAGGAGUUAGUUUAGUCUUUUUUUUUUUAUAAAAAUUCAAUUAGGCAUUUAAUUUAACCACGUAUUCGUUAUAUGAAGUUUUCUCGAAUCGAUUAUUUACUCCAGUCGUGUAUUUACUAUUUUCACUUAACGGGCCUUCAGAAAUUAAAUUUCGAAACGAAUUGCUUUAAAAAUAUAACUAAGCUAUGGAUACAUUUAAUUAGGCCUAAAAAGUUUGGAAAAUAAUAAUCAGAGAAAUCGGGUGAGUAAAUACUUAUUUUAGCCAGUAAAAUAGAUAAAACAAACGAAGUUUUCGAGUCCUCACAACCUACCCUCCUUAAAGAGAAUUUCGUCCUCGAAAUUCAUACCUUCUGAAAUCUCAGACGGCUCUGCACCGUGUGGUGUGUUCAUGUCAGGCGUUCUUUCAGAUGUCACUGGUCGGUUUCUCCUUCCAUUGAUUUGUCGAGGGAAAGUUCUAUUUCCUUGUGGAGCAGUAGUUUUUCGUGGAUACCUCUUUGGACAGUCACGGACUUUAUGGUGGGUACUCCCACAUCCCAUACACUUUCGUCCCUUUAACCAACAGUUUUCUUCAGUGUGAUUCGUCCUUCCACAAUAUCCACAAAUUGAACGAGGUGUUGUGACCUGACUUGCUUGCGAAGUUUUCUUUGAUCGUGUUUGUCCUACUGAAGUCCCUCGCAACAUAGUUCCUUUUGGUUCCUUUACCAUGAAUGGUGCAGGAAGUAACAGUUCUACUCCAUUCACUUCUUUUCUAACCUUGGGUAGUGGUCCAUUUUCUCCUAGGGUAUUGUCAGAUGCAUCUCUUUUCCUUGCUUGAAAAGCUCUCAGUUGCGAUUUUGUACUUUCUACCCUUUGCGCUUUUUCGAGAGCGUCACUAAACGUUUCAACCUGUGCUGCGGCAAAGGCAUCUUGGAUUUCCAAAUCUAAUCCUUGGAUAAACCGUCUUAUUUUCUUCCGUUCAGUAGCCACCAAUUCUGGGGCAUAUGUAGAUAACUUCGUAAAGCGUGUUUCAUACUCAGCUACGCUUAAAGUUCCUUGACGAAGCUUUAUAAAGUCAUAUUCUCUCUUUUCUCGGACAAGUGGGGGAAGAAAUUUCUCAUUAAAUUCACGUACAAAAUUUAUCCAAGUGCUUGGAGUUUGAUCCCUUUUCCACUUGUUUCUUAUAACAUUCCACCAGGCUCGUACUGCUCCUUCAAGUUGAAAUACAGCAAAGGUGACUUGUCUCUCCUCGGUGUAAUUUAAAGCAUCGAAUAUAUUUCUUAUAUUUUCUAACCAAUUCUCAGCCACCUCUGGAUCAGGUCCUCCAGCAAACUUAGGCAGGAAGAAUUUCUGAAACCGCUCUAAAGCUCGAUCCUCCCCUAUUUCUUGGUUUCCCUGUCCAACACCUUGACCUUGUUGAGCUACUAAGAGCUCUAGUAUAUCCGUCAUGCGGGUUAGAACUUGUCCUAUUUGGUCAUUUCCUCUCCCAGCACUAGGCUCGGCAUUUUGGUCAAUAUCAGAUCCAUUAUCUACUCUUUCAUUUCUGGGUUGUCUAGGUUGACGUCCCUGUCGUCGUCUCCCAGUUUCCAUUCUCACAACUAAUCUAUACAAAGAUGUGCAAAUGGCUCACUAAACUAAAAAUUAUCUAUGCACACGUAUAUUUAACAAUUUUCAAAAUGAGCAAUAAAACUAUAUCCACAGAUGACAUUUUCACAAAUAGCACAUUAACAGUUAACAUAGAAUUUAAACUAGUCUCAAUUAGGUUGCAUACCAUUACAAAAUUAGAGCUAAUCAAGUCAUAAUACAAGUUGAAAUCAAAGGUCAUUUAUCCAAAGUUUAAAAAUCUUUAGCAAGCCAGCCAAUAACUAAAGUGCAUUCAUCUCCAAGAAUAACCAACCUUGGGAUUUCUAAUUAAAGCCUCAAGUACUAUUUUCAAACUCAGAGAAUAUGUACAACUGGCUCACUUAAGCGUCAAGUGGGAACCAAGUCAAUUCGCACUAGGACUGGCCAUCUCCAGAUGCAAAUCAACUCAGUCACCACCAUUCCUCAAAGAAAAUUUCACAAAAUGUCUCACUCAAGCAAUCGAUCCAAGAUUCACAUUCAAUUUCAUACAUAUACUUACGAAGAUUACGAGCCUAGAGAAUACCUCGAAUCUUACGAUUUACCCAGUCAAAUUCGAUCUUAUAGAUAUCAGCUAGUGUCAAUGUUCAAGAAACUCAACUAUCACUUCUCAAAUCUAUUCUCACAAUUCUCUUCAGUUUCUUACAAUAUAAGAAACCCUAGUGUGCAAACCUACUUAAAAACAAACACUUCAGUAUUACUCAAUCGAUCAUCAAGUAUUAAGAUCACACUCCACUUACUAGACAAUCAAACUCCACAGUCCGGCAUCUUAUGCUUAAAGCCUAAGAUACACUACAAAGAUCUAGAGCCUAAGCUCUGAUACCAACUGUGACGAUCCCACUUCCCCCUAAGGCGAACCAAAGGGUUGGCGGGCCGCCUACCCAGCUCUCGCCGAGACUCACGCAAGAAAUCUAGCCAAAAUUCUCCCGAAGUAUAUCUUAAACUAUUACAACAUCAUUUCUCCCAAAAUAGACCAUUUACUAAAACCACAUUAACUUCAGGGAUAACAAUACGGCCGGAUAGCCAAUCGUCGAUUCUCAAACUAUCUUCCCGAUUACAAAUCAAGAAACAAGACUUACAAUUUAAAUACAUGCGUACAACCCAGAUAACAAAUCCAUACCAGCCACAUAACAAAUCCAGGAUUUACACUUUUCCAGCUUCAAGUGGCAACCCAAAACAAACGAUACAAAGACUAAUUAAAACACGACAACUUUCAAAAGAAACGAACUAGUACCACUCACAAGCACCCUUGGUCUCGAACCCUGUAAAAGAAAACCACAACGUGGAAUGAGCUACACAGCCCAGUGAGGUUCCAAGACACUCUAACCGUUCAAAUAAAUCAAGAAAGUUGGGCAUACCAUAUGCAUGGUUCCAGGUUACGCAAUGGCAUGUAUAGUUCACGAAUGAUUGGAGCUUAUUACAGGUGCGAGUAAUUAAGCAUGUUACGGUUAGGGGACAUUAACAUGGAACAGGUAUCAUGAUAUGAAUUCAUUGGACAGAUAACAGGUAUGGAGCAUAUCGCAGUUAUAGCUCAAGAUUUCACGUUGGCAUUUUAACACGAAACAAUUAUCAUGAUACAAGGUAAAUAAACACUGUAGGAUACGGUGUUCCAGUAGAACUUUAUCGGUCAUCUGCACCUUAUAACUUCUGAAUCCCCACGGUUGACUGGCCAUCACCUUAUCCCUCCAGUGAUAAUACUCGAGUAUACCGAAACGGUGUCCCAAGAUUCCAACCUACCCGACCGAGCCCAGUCCUGGCUCGAGUAGGUUAGUAACCAUGAGCAGGGCCCAGUUCAGCUUAGAGCUUACAACAUGCACAGGUAACCAAGUAAUUCGACAAAAAAAAGUAAAAUUCAUCAUUUGAAUAGGUCGAGUGAGAUAAAGUACACACUCGCCUAACAAUGAUGGACAACUUCAAAUAACAUGUGAUUCAUGAUAAACAAGUAAUCAAGUAGAUACUUAGCACGUAAGCACAUAGGCAAUACAAGUUGAUAUCAUGGAAGCAUGUAAUUCACGGGUAGCAAAUAGUCAUGUAGAUUGGAAAUCAUGUGAGCAAAUAGUCAAGUAAUCAGGUAGUCAUGUGGGUUGGUAAACGGUUAACGGUGGAGUAUUGACGGUUACUUGACAGGUAUUUGCCAUGUUAAUAGGCCAUCAUCGGCCGCUAUCCCAUUUUAAUCAUGUGAGAGUCGAGGAGAUUCACUCCAGCGACGUUACGUCCAACACUUGUAAGACAUUCACGAAAACAUUGGAUUCACGAGUCGAGGGAUUCACCAAACGACGUAACUACAUUUAGAUUCACGAGAAAAUGUUUCACGCAAGUCACCACUUGAAUGGCUAGUCUGAUAAAGUACACACUGCUCACUUCGAUGGAUCGGAAAUCAUUUUCCAAAUUGUCACAUAACGAGUCACGAAAGCACUUUAACCAAAUAACCAUAAAACAAGCAGGCUAAGCACGUAUUGAGUUUACACGGUCAUUUGAUAGGGUUAAUCAUUUAACCAAUUCAUGUCGAUAUGCAAUGCAAGUAUAUAUUUCUUAAAUAGGCACGAGUAUGGUAAAUACUUAACAAUCAUGAAAUGAGCAUGUCCUAGACUUACUCAAUUACGUAUUCCUAUAUGGAACACUCACCUAGCAACAAGGGCCUUAGGUUCAAUUUGAAGUUCAAGCGUCCACUGUCGGAUCCUCAUAAAGGUCCUCGUGUGUGCCUGAACAAAUAGUAAUAGUCUAUCAUUUACAAUCCCUACUAUUGAUAAAAAUCGUGUCAUAGUACAACUUAGGAAAAAACUCGUGAAACAAGUGUUAAUUAUUCUAAAUCGGGACUCUCAAGCGGGUUUCAAAGUACAAGAGAAAUUAAGUCCUCAUCAUGAAAAACAAGGAUAAGACAUUUGAAUAAUAUCUAAGGAACAAGGAGUACUUGAAAAACUCCAUUUCCAUGGAAUUCGGAAAAUUUUCAGUUUUGAUGCGAUACUUUGAAAAAUCGUAGCUCACCUUUUACAUGUCAAAAAUUGGAAAACUUGGUACCGUUGGAAACCUCUUGCAAAGUACUAAAAGUUCCUAAAAUACACUUUUCCAUGAUUCUAAAUGGAAGAUAGUCAAAAAAUGGCUCAAAGUUACUGUUUUGGUUCAUAAGGCAGAUUUAAGUUGAUUUUUAGCCAACUUUGGAAUUUCGGCAAAAUUCACUUGUUUGGAACUAGCUUUUGAAAUUUUCAAAUCUAUUAGUGUUGUAAUCCAAGAGUAUAACAAAACAAACGGAACGAGAAACGGGGUUUUGAGCACCAAGAUACGGUAGCUCAAAAUUACUAAAAUUCCCUUGUGAAACAUGGUUUUUUUCAAACUCGAGUCAUGAACUUUGGUAAUUUAUUUGAACCAUGAAACGGCCUCAGAAUAAAACCAUAAUUAGCAGUAUAAUACUACCAUAUAAGGGUUGUGCCUCUACCAAAUUUCAUGGAAAAAUGACUUCGGAAAGGUGGUCAAUCAAACACCUAAAAUUUCGCAAAUACUAAGACAAAACUGCCUUGAACCUUUUGUUUUUCCAUUUCAGACAUUUGGUCAAAGAAAAAUUCCUCCAAACCUGGUUCAUUUGUUUAGGCAAAAUUUAAAUAACGUUCAUGGUACAUUUGGUAAGUGUUUAGCAUCAAAAUAUUCAGUUAGCAAGUCUUUGCCAAACCUUGCAUCAAAUCUGUCUAAAAAUCAGGGUUUUCAAGGACAGAGCAGGUUUCAUAGUUUGAUCACAGAUCACUCAAAUUAACUCGGAAUUUGGCAUGGUUUAAGGCGUUGCAAAACACAUUCAUAGAGAUAUAAUGUCACAGAAGAAAUCAUUUUGAAAUUCGGCACACAACUAGCUCGAAUUCGAGUCACAAGUUGCAGCCUCGCCAUUUUGUUCUUGUAAAACAGGGAAACAGAACAGCUGACUUAAAAUAGUUGGUUUGGCUCACAUACAUGGAACCAGAAUGUACAUUUUAUAUCGUCGGAAAGGUUGGAAUGUCUAGUUUCAAAUGCCACUGACGGCACUCGAUUUCGACAUCGGAGCUCAAAAUUAUGGCCAAAAUACGGAAGCUGGUUAGAGCCUUACAAAAACAGUUGCAGAUUUACUAGCUUUGUGAAAUCAUUUUAUUUGACCAACCAAAACUCAAUAUUUUUCAAUGAAACUUUGUACACCAUAUAUUCAACAUAUAAACAUGAUAUACAAGUCAUGAAACCCUCAAAAUUCUGCAAAAAUGGGUGCGAUUAAAACAGGGCAGAUUCGUUAUCAUCACAUGUAACUCCUCAAUUUGCCCCCUUUUUAAUUUUUGUCACUUAACUCUACUAAAUUAGCACCUAAUCAACACAAGCAGCAUCAAAUCCUGGCUAAUCAGAUUAUCCAAGUCAUUGUGGGAAUUCAUAGAGCCCACUCACCAAAUUUCCAUUAAAACUCAAAGGAGUCACCAUCGGCUAGGCUGGAAAAAUUGCAGCAAAUAGAUAGUUUGGAAAACGAACUUUUCCCUAACAAAAUUCAUUACUUUGUUCACUCAAACUCAGCAUGCAUAUGGUGAUUAUUGUGUUAUGAGGUAUAUUGAACCACAAUACGAAAUUUGCAGCCAAGAUUUGAAGAGAAAAACUGGAAAUUCUUUCUUUCCCUCUCUCGGCCAACUCAACAGAUUUCCAGCAAUUAGAUUGGUCAUAAAUCCAAAUUUUCCUUCGGUUAAUUCAUGGUAUUAGGUGCUAAAAAUUAACAUGCAAAUACUUAACUAGUUGAUCAAUAUUUCUAGUUCAAAAUCGGAUUCAAACAACAGCCAUAAUCAUCCAAGAAAACCAGAAAUUCUGUUUGCUACCUUCGGAUGAGCUUGCAUGCGGCCAGAUUGUUUUUCAUUCUUAUUUUUCUAGCAUAACCGAACCAAGGGGCUGCAUGCAAAGCUUAAUUACCUUGUUCUUAAUUAGUUAAACGCAUCUAUCAGCUCAAACUACUACAAAGAGACAGAAUUAAAUCUGCAUUUUCCAAAUCAGUCCCACGGCAAAUUCCAAUUUCUUCCUAAUCAGAUUUUCUCAUGCUUUGGUUUCAUCAUCCGAGACACAAACACUUCAUGCAUGACCAUAAUUCACUGCAUCUACCACUAAUCAACUCCUUCUAACUCAGAAAUUACCUCAGGUUGCAGCUUAUACACGCGACAAGGUGCUGUCAAUUUUUCCUUCUCUCGGAUGGUUCGAAGUGCAGCCCGUUUCCUCUCCUUCUCUUAUACAGGCUGGCGGAUGAGAUGAGGGAAAGCAGCAGGUCUCUCACUUUUAUUUCUAGCAUGCGGUCAGGAGGUGAUGAAGUAGAAGGCUCGGCUCUCUCUCCCUUUCUCACUUCACUCUCUCGGACAGAACAGGAAUUGCAGCUCACACAUCUCCCUUUCUUUUCU